UACGUAGGGACCAAGCGUUGUUUGGAUUUACUGGGCGUAAAGGGCGCGUAGGCGGCGUGACAAGUCACUUGUGAAAUCUCUGGGCUUAACCCAGAACGGCCAAGUGAAACUGUUGUGCUAGAGUGCAGAAGGGGCAAUCGGAAUUCUCGGUGUAGCGGUGAAAUGCGUAGAUAUCGAGAGGAACACCAGAGGUGAAGGCGGCUCUCUGGAACGCAACUGACGCUGAGACGCGAAAGCGUGGGGAGCAAACAGG
RNAcentral lists this ribosomal RNA (253 nucleotides) under uncultured bacterium. RNAcentral describes it as "partial 16S ribosomal RNA". It matches the Rfam family "Bacterial small subunit ribosomal RNA", at positions 524 to 776 of the family's 1533-position model. The record is from RNAcentral.